CAUCCACAUCCACAUCCACCCGCUAUGUGGAUACCCUCCUCCACACCUGACACCUCUACCUCCAUGGCCAAGCGCCCUUGUCCGUUCUCAUCCAUAUCCUUCUCCUCAGUAACCACCACCACCAACGCCACCACCACUACAAGCUCUAGUAGGCAACCGAACAUGAGCCACCAAGUGGAUAAUCUCCUCCAAACAUUUCUGGACCUAGCAGACUCACCUGCUCUCUUUAUUGACCUCUCCUUCGAGCGUCUCCUCGAUUCCUUCCCUUGCGACGCCGAUCAGUCCCUCCUCAUCGAUCGUGCCCUCAAAUUGGGCUCUAUACUUCUCGAAGCUGGGAAACGCU
RNAcentral lists this unclassified non-coding RNA (343 nucleotides) under Hevea brasiliensis (rubber tree). Lineage: Eukaryota; Viridiplantae; Streptophyta; Magnoliopsida; Malpighiales; Euphorbiaceae. The record is from RNAcentral.